This is a non-coding RNA of Triticum urartu, 134 nucleotides long. Lineage: Eukaryota; Viridiplantae; Streptophyta; Magnoliopsida; Poales; Poaceae. The record is from Rfam.
GAACUACUCCCUCUGUUCAGAAAUACUUGUCAUCAAAAUGAAUAAAAGGGGAUGUAUCUAGAUAUAUUUUAGUUCUAGAUAUAUCAUUUUUUUCCAUUUUAAUGACAAGUAUUUUCAGACGGAGGGAAUACUAG